GCUUACGACCACACCGGCCUGAGUACGCCUGAUCUCGUCUGAUCUCGGAAGCUAAGCAGGGUCGGGCCUGGUUAGUACUUGGAUGGGAGACUUCCUGGGAAUAUCAGGUGCUGUAAGCU
Oncorhynchus tshawytscha (Chinook salmon) is the source of this 119-nucleotide ribosomal RNA. Lineage: Eukaryota; Metazoa; Chordata; Actinopteri; Salmoniformes; Salmonidae. The record is from Ensembl.